AGUGAACGCUGGCGGUAGGCCUAACACAUGCAAGUCGAACGGCAGCACAGUAAGAGCUUGCUCUUACGGGUGGCGAGUGGCGGACGGGUGAGGAAUACAUCGGAAUCUACUUUUUCGUGGGGGAUAACGUAGGGAAACUUACGCUAAUACCGCAUACGACCUACGGGUGAAAGCAGGGGAUCUUCGGACCUUGCGCGAUUGAAUGAGCCGAUGUCGGAUUAGCUAGUUGGCGGGGUAAAGGCCCACCAAGGCGACGAUCUGUAGCUGGUCUGAGAGGAUGAUCAGCCACACUGGAACUGAGACACGGUCCAGACUCCUACGGGAGGCAGCAGUGGGGAAUAUUGGACAAUGGGCGCAAGCCUGAUCCAGCCAUACCGCGUGGGUGAAGAAGGCCUUCGGGUUGUAAAGCCCUUUUGUUGGGAAAGAAAAGCAGCAGGUUAAUACCCCGCUGUUCUGACGGUACCCAAAGAAUGAGCACCGGCUAACUUCGUG
This 492-nucleotide ribosomal RNA is filed under the name uncultured bacterium. RNAcentral's name for it is "partial 16S ribosomal RNA". It matches the Rfam family "Bacterial small subunit ribosomal RNA", at positions 29 to 507 of the family's 1533-position model. The record is from RNAcentral.